AUACGUAGGGGGCAAGCGUUAUCCGGAUUUACUGGGUGUAAAGGGAGCGUAGACGGAAAGCCAAGUCUGAUGUGAAAGGUGGGGGCUCAACCCCCAAACUGCAUUGGAAACUGGUUUGCUAGAGUGUCGGAGAGGUAAGUGGAAUUCCUAGUGUAGCGGUGAAAUGCUUAGAUAUCAUGAAGAACUCCGAUUGCGAAGGCAGUCCGCUGAGGCACGUCUGACGCUGAUGCUCGAAGGUGCGGGAAUCAAACAGGAUUAGAUGCCCUGGUAGUCCGCACGGUAAACGAUGAUUACCCGCUGUCGGCGGCAGACAGUCGGCGGCCAAGCGAAAGCGAUAAGUAAUCCACCUGGGGAGUACGCCGGCAACGGUGAAACUCAAAUGAAUUGACGGGG
This 393-nucleotide ribosomal RNA is filed under the name uncultured bacterium. RNAcentral's name for it is "partial 16S ribosomal RNA". It matches the Rfam family "Bacterial small subunit ribosomal RNA", at positions 523 to 918 of the family's 1533-position model. The record is from RNAcentral.